RNAcentral lists this ribosomal RNA (403 nucleotides) under Verrucomicrobiota bacterium. Its description in RNAcentral is "Verrucomicrobia bacterium partial 16S ribosomal RNA". It matches the Rfam family "Bacterial small subunit ribosomal RNA", at positions 355 to 776 of the family's 1533-position model. Lineage: Bacteria; Pseudomonadati; Verrucomicrobiota. The record is from RNAcentral.
UGGGGAAUAUUGCACAAUGGGGGAAACCCUGAUGCAGCGACGCCGCGUGAGCGAAGAAGGCCUUCGGGUCGUAAAGCUCUUUUAUAUGGGAAGAUAAUGACGGUACCAUAAGAAAAAGCCCCGGCUAACUACGUGCCAGCAGCCGCGGUAAUACGUAGGGGGCUAGCGUUGUCCGGAAUCACUGGGCGUAAAGGGUUCGCAGGCGGCAAUGCAAGUCAGAUGUAAAAGGCAAAGGCUCAACCUUUAUAAGCAUCUGAAAAUGUAUAGCUUGAGAAGUGUAGAGGCAAGUGGAAUUUUUAGUGUAGCGGUGAAAUGCGUAGAUAUUAAAAAGAAUACCGGUGGCGAAGGCGACUUGCUGGGCACAAUCUGACGCUGAGGAACGAAAGCGUGGGGAGCAAACAGG